Molecule: long non-coding RNA, 405 nt
Organism: Empidonax traillii (willow flycatcher)
Lineage: Eukaryota; Metazoa; Chordata; Aves; Passeriformes; Tyrannidae
Exons: 3
Source: RefSeq, a predicted model, not a curated record
GCAGCUGGGGAUCUCUGCACAGAAGCCAUCCCUGAGAGACCCCUAUGACUGGAACUGCAAAAGGUGAUGGCAAAAGGUUUGGCACUGCACUGGCUGUAAUGCUUCUGGGGAGGUGCUGGAGAGAAGCCCUUGGCCACGGAGGAGUGAUACGAAUCAGAAGGACUGCCAUCCACAAUUAUCAAGACAACUGGCUACUUUCUUCAAGGUUAGGAGCUGGACCAGAUGAAUGUAUUAGGUGGCUGAAAUCCCUGAAACUGUGACAAAGUGUUCAAGUUAUUACAAGCUUUGGUGGCUAGCUUCUUUGGCUAAUGGAUUACACAAUGAACUGCCUGACUCUGUUAUGUGUCUGUGAAUACUGUUUCCCUGGACUGCAACACCAGUCCAAUUCUUUGCUCUGCUGGAAGU